UGUUAACAAUGUAAAAGAAGUUUUCUCCUCAAAGUCUAGAUCCAGCAAUUCUUCCUCGCUUCAUACCUAUUUUAAGUAAAAAAAAAUUCUCCUCCAUCUGAUAUUCUGGCAGAAAAUUAGGGGUUAUUCAGAGAAGAUUUAUUCUGCAAUCUUGGAAAUAUUUCUGCAUCGCAGGAUGAAAAUCUAUGUAAACAAAAAUCUAUUAAGAAGGAAUGGAAGAAGAACAUCCAGUGGUGGUAAUAAUCUCGGUCAAUUUUGUUUUUCGAUUUGAACCCUAACAAUUUCAUUUUGGGCGGGAUGAAAUCAAACGAAAAUUCUUUUGGGAGGGAUUCCUGCUUGGCGUUUUGGAACAACUAUAAGUUCAACCCUAAGCAAUUCAGAGAUGUGAGAGAUAUAUCUUUUUUGGGGGAUUAGUAGUUCAGAGAUCAAAAAACAUCCAAGGGUAUUGGGAUCCCAGCGACACCUUCGUUCUUUGGUCUUUUGCUGUUCGAGGAACUUCAGGAAAAAGGCUGUUGCACUUGCAAGUUACUGAUGGAUGACCACUACGACUUCAUGAUUGAGGAAAUCUUUGAUCCAAGUGCGAUGUUGUGACAUAGAGAUGAUGAUGUUGUGCUUGGGGAUGUUUCAAGAGGUGAGUUUACCAAGUGGCCCAAGACCUAUGCAACUACUGUAGCCUGUAGGAGAGCGAUCAAGUUAGAGUUGCAGUGACAGCAGAUUGAUCACUUUUUAAAUUUUCAAGAUGUAACUUGGAGUUGGAGUUGUUAGGAUAUGUCUUCCAUUUAUGUUCGAAUAUUCUAUUUUCUUUAGAAAAUAGUUAUAAAGUUAAUUAAUAAAGUCAAUUUGUUUAA
This is a long non-coding RNA of Papaver somniferum (opium poppy), 848 nucleotides long. RefSeq lists it as uncharacterized. Lineage: Eukaryota; Viridiplantae; Streptophyta; Magnoliopsida; Ranunculales; Papaveraceae. The transcript has 2 exons. The record is from RefSeq and is a predicted model, not a curated record.